CAGAAAACUGGCCAAAUUCUCUUAUUCAUUCUACUAUUUUAAAAUUUCUAUGUUCACAAUGAUAUGAUCUAAAACUGCAGAUGAUAUCCAUCUUCCUUGCUGUUUUCCUUCCGAUCCUUUUGCUUAGUUUUUUCACCUUGUUCUUCCGGGAGCCCCUGCUGCUGACGCUGAUGCUGGGGUCUCGGGUGUCCCUUCUCGUCUCGCUCCUGACUUGGGGAGGCGGAUUUCAACAUGGAACAGCAGGGAAAGCUGAUCUGAGUGAUGUGCUGUGCUCCAGCACUGGGAAGCUCUCUGCUUAGCCACAGAACCUCACUGACGCUCUUUCCUGUACUCUUCUUAAAAACAAUGAUUCCCCUUUUUUUGCCCUGCACCGAGAUGUUCUCCUCCUGGCCAAGAAAAACAUGUGGAGGGAGAUCACAUAACAAAGUGGGGGAUCUCCAGUUGAACAGAGACUCAGAAAGAAAGCACUUAGAAAACUGUCAGGUGAGUUUUCCCUGGCACAUUCAAUUACAUGUUGACACUUCAAUAAAAUAAAAUGAUU
This 541-nucleotide long non-coding RNA is filed under the name Cercocebus atys (sooty mangabey). RNAcentral describes it as "lncRNA (ENSCATG00000045465.1)". Lineage: Eukaryota; Metazoa; Chordata; Mammalia; Primates; Cercopithecidae. The record is from RNAcentral.